RNAcentral lists this ribosomal RNA (281 nucleotides) under uncultured bacterium. RNAcentral's name for it is "partial 16S ribosomal RNA". It matches the Rfam family "Bacterial small subunit ribosomal RNA", at positions 81 to 354 of the family's 1533-position model. The record is from RNAcentral.
CGGGAAGAGGGGAAAAGGGCUUAGUGGCGGACGGGUGAGUAACGCGUGGGUAACCUGGCCCAUACAGGGGGAUAACACUUAGAAAUAGGUGCUAAUACCGCAUAACAACAGAAAGCGCAUGCUUUUUGUUUGAAAACCAAGGUGGUAUGGGAUGGACCCGCGUCUGAUUAGCUGGUUGGCGGGGUAAAGGCCCACCAAGGCGACGAUCAGUAGCCGGCCUGAGAGGGUGGACGGCCACAUUGGGACUGAGACACGGCCCAAACUCCUACGGGAGGCAGCAG